Molecule: ribosomal RNA, 492 nt
Filed under: uncultured bacterium
Lineage: Bacteria
Description: partial 16S ribosomal RNA
Rfam family: Bacterial small subunit ribosomal RNA
Source: RNAcentral
AGUGAACGCUGGCGGUAGGCCUAACACAUGCAAGUCGAACGGCAGCACAGUAAGAGCUUGCCCUUACGGGUGGCGAAUGGCGGACGGGUCAGGAAUACAUCGGAAUCUACUUUUUCGUGGGGGAUAACGUAGGGAGACUUACGCUAAUACCGCAUCCGCCCUACGGGUGAAAGCAGGGGAUCUUCUGACCUUGCGCGAUUGGAUGAGCCGAUGUCGGGUUAGCUAGUUGGCGGGGUAAAGGCCCACCAAGGCGCGGAUCCGUAGCUGGUCUGAGAGGAUGGUCAGCGACCUGGGAAGGGGGACACGGACCAGAGUCCUAAGAGAGGGAGCAGUGGGGAAUAUGGGACAGUGGGCGGAAGCCUGAUCCAGCGAUACCGCGUGGGUGAAGAAGGCGUUCGGGUUGUAAAGCCCGUUUGUUGGGAAAGAAAAGCAGCAGGUUAAGACGCCGCGGGUGUGACGGUACCCAAAGAAGAAGCACCGGCUAACUUCGUG